CGCUCCUGCCAGGAUUUGAACCUGGGAAAACUUCUGAUUGGUGAUCAGAGGCAUUAACCGUUGCGUCACGAC
Cordylochernes scorpioides is the source of this 72-nucleotide non-coding RNA. Lineage: Eukaryota; Metazoa; Arthropoda; Arachnida; Pseudoscorpiones; Chernetidae. The record is from the annotation of a GenBank genome assembly.